Molecule: ribosomal RNA, 611 nt
Filed under: Cuscuta campestris
Lineage: Eukaryota; Viridiplantae; Streptophyta; Magnoliopsida; Solanales; Convolvulaceae
Description: eukaryotic LSU rRNA
Rfam family: 5.8S ribosomal RNA (bases 205-360)
Source: RNAcentral
GAAGGAUCAUUGUCGAACCCUCGCGGUAGAAUGACUUGCCAACCUGUACCAAUUAUUGAUUCGAGUGUCGGGGUGCUGUCUUUCUGAUUUGCCCAGACGAACAAAAACACCGGCGCAGCAGCGCCAAGGAAUAUAAUAAUGAGUGUGCAACCUUGCAGAGCUCAAUUAUGUUGCCUGUGAGCUUCGCAUCCUUUUAAUAAAAAUGACUCUCGGCAAUGGAUAUCUCGGCUCUUGCAUCGAUGAAGAACGUAGCGAAAUGCGAUACUUGGUGUGAAUUGCAGAAUCCCGUGAACCAUCGAAACUUUGAACGCAAGUUGCGCCUCAAGCCAUUGGGUUGAGGGCACGUCUGCUUGGGUGUCAUGCACUAUGUCUCCCCUCUCGUGUGUGGAGUGGGAAUAGAUCCUGGCCUCCUGGGCCCUUCCUUGGGCGUGGUUGGCCGAAAAUGUUGUCCUGGAUUUUGUUGAUGUCUUGGUGAGCGGUGGAUGUGCCAGGGGUGCAUAGUUGCCAGCCUUGCUCGACUUCAUUGUGGCGUUGGGAUCCUAUGAAGCUGCCGUUUUUUGCUCUUUGAUUGCGACCCCAAGUCAGGCGAGACUACCCGCUGAGUUUAAGCA